GAUGAAGAACGCAGUGAAAUGCGAUAAGUAAUGUGAAUUGCAGAAUUCAGUGAAUCAUCGAAUCUUUGAACGCAUCUUGCGCUCCUUGGUAUUCUGAGGAGCAUGCCUGUUUGAGUGUCAUUAAAUUCUCAACUACACUGACUUUGAAUUGGUGUGGCUUGGAUUUGGGGGGAAAAUUGUUGUGGGCUUUUUUGUAUAGUCUGCUCCCCUGAAAUUGAUUAGCGGUACCUUUGUGGAACUGUCUACAGGUGUGAUAAUUAUCUACAUCCUAGACAUCUGCUGGAAUGCUGCUUUCUAAACCUUACUUGUAUUGACAAUCUUGACCUCAAAUCAGGUAGGACUACCCGCUGAACUUAAGCAUAUCAAUAAGCGGAGGA
RNAcentral lists this unclassified non-coding RNA (377 nucleotides) under soil metagenome. RNAcentral describes it as "partial contains 5.8S ribosomal RNA, internal transcribed spacer 2, and large subunit ribosomal RNA". The stretch from base 1 to 120 matches the Rfam family "5.8S ribosomal RNA", at positions 35 to 154 of the family's 154-position model. The record is from RNAcentral.